CUCUAAGUUUACUCCCAGCUGCUAUAAUAAUAGUUGUAUGAAGAACAAGAAGAAGAGGAAACUCCUCAAAUGAUCUUGACUGUGAUCUCAUCGUAUUACAAUUUACAAUAGUCCUCAACAGAUUUCCGUGGAUAAAUUAGUCUCUUGAAAUUAUUUGUCACCAAUCUAUUUUCUAUUUUUGAGGAAUUAAUUUGGUGACUAGAGCUGGUUUAAUGAUUUAUUAUAAUGAUAAUAGUAACAGAGUGACUCAAUGCCCACGGCUCCCACCGUUUUCAGGUUUAGGUAGAUCAGUCUAUGCAAUGGUAACUUCUUAUUCCAUAAAUGGAGAUGCUAUUUCUCUGAUUAAAACCAUUGACCUCCAAGUUCCACCUGAUGUUGUAAGACAAUAAAUUCUGACUUUGAUAAUGGUGCUUUGAAUUCAGAGCAACUGUUUAAUUAAUUUUUUGAGGGGUAUGCAACAUUACAAUGUUUUUCUAUUUAAAAAAUUCUCAAAUGGUUAGCUGAAAGUUGUACGUAACAUUAAACUCGUCCCCAAAAUGAUCCUAAAGUUGUCUGAGAACGACAACAGUGAUAUCGAUAUUUAUCAUUGAAGGGCCAAUUUGAUGUCAUUGAUAAAUGGUGCUUGAACAUGACAUCACAUGUAUCUUGAGAGGGCCAAAAUAUUUGUUAGCUCUGUGUACUUCACUAAUUUAUUUAUGCUGCAUGAAUGUGCUUGUAUAACAUUUUUGUUGCCUUUGGUCUGGUUGAUUGCGGAUCUACCUAGAAAUCAAAGAUUUAUAUUAUCUAUUUUUUAUCUUAUGCAGGAAAUUGCUAUCUGAGAAUAAGCAUGUCAAGUACCUUUAUAUUCCUUAUACUGAGUCUGCCGUGGUUGUGAGAUGCAAUCCUGUUUCAAAGUGGAAAG
Molecule: long non-coding RNA, 901 nt
Filed under: Medicago truncatula (barrel medic)
Lineage: Eukaryota; Viridiplantae; Streptophyta; Magnoliopsida; Fabales; Fabaceae
Description: long non-coding RNA (MTRU_LNC002298)
Source: RNAcentral